CGGACGGGUGAGUAACGCGUGAGAAUCUGGCUUCAGGUCUGGGACAACCACUGGAAACGGUGGCUAAUACCGGAUGUGCCGAAAGGUGAAAGGUUAACUGCCUGAAGAUGAGCUCGCGUCUGAUUAGCUAGUUGGAAGUGUAAUGGACUCCCAAGGCGACGAUCAGUAGCUGGUCUGAGAGGACGAUCAGCCACACUGGGACUGAGACACGGCCCAGACUCCUACGGGAGGCAGCAGUGGGGAAUUUUCCGCAAUGGGCGAAAGCCUGACGGAGCAAUACCGCGUGAGGGAGGAAGGCUCUUGGGUCGUAAACCUCUUUUCUCAGGGAAGAACACAAUGACGGUACCUAAGGAAUAAGCAUCGGCUAACUCCGUGCCAGCAGCCGCGGUAAUACGGAGGAUGCAAGCGUUAUCCGGAAUGAUUGGGCGUAAAGCGUCCGCAGGUGGCGAUGAAAGUCUGCUGUUAAAGAGUCUAGCUCAACUAGAUAAAAGCAGUGGAAACUACAUAGCUAGAGUACGUUCGGGGCAGAGGGAAUUCCUGGUGUAGCGGUGAAAUGCGUAGAGAUCAGGAAGAACACCGGUGGCGAAGGCGCUCUGCUAGGCCGUAACUGACACUGAGGGACGAAAGCUAGGGGAGCGAAUGGGAUUAGAUACCCCAGUAGUC
RNAcentral lists this ribosomal RNA (663 nucleotides) under uncultured cyanobacterium. RNAcentral's name for it is "bacterial SSU rRNA". It matches the Rfam family "Bacterial small subunit ribosomal RNA", at positions 99 to 795 of the family's 1533-position model. Lineage: Bacteria; Bacillati; Cyanobacteriota. The record is from RNAcentral.